Non-coding RNA from Phascolarctos cinereus (koala), 1950 nucleotides. NCBI's taxonomy places the organism in Eukaryota, Metazoa, Chordata, Mammalia, Diprotodontia, Phascolarctidae. The record is from RefSeq and is a predicted model, not a curated record.
GCUCCGCUCCCGGGAUGCCUCCGGCAACCUUAUCUACAGGCAUGAAGUGACGGAGACAGGUUUAACCCCUUGGCAAGAAAGUGUCAGGCUGGAGAGGAUGGAGGGACCCCAGACAGAAAAAGGGGAGAAGAGCUUGUGAUCUCUUCAUUCUCCUGGUUCUGUUGUUCCAAUCUGUCUCCCGCCCUGCUAUGGGCGGUCUGACUCUCUCUCUCUCUCCCGUUCCUGACAGACUACCAUGGCCCUCUAACACACAGAACAGCAAAUAUCAAGUCUGUUCAGCAUUUAAAGCCACAUGGCAGCACUGGCGGAACAUCAAUAUUAAAUAGACGGGCCCUUGUUUCCAUGGGAAGCUUGAGAUCACCAAAACAGCUCUGCAAAUUUUCCAAAGGAAAUCUAAGGCCCUCUCCUCCUUUUCAACUCUGGGCCCAAACUGUCUGUCCCAGACAUACCGACUCAUAGAAGGCUCAAACGUCUAUCGUCAUCGGGACAAAAGGCGCUCUUCAACCACUCUGUCUUGGGGCCGUGCGAUUCUCACGGGUUACAGAUCCCUUCCAGGAAGCUCCCUAAAGCGGCCCAACGCCACCCAAGCAGGAGCACUGGAGGACCCCCCACCCCCCAUCCCCAGGGAAGCCCUCUUCAGCCUAGGCUCCGGGCUGGGUCUUCCUCAUCCCAGCGCCUCCCUCGCUGGGGAUACCUAACAGGGGACGUGAAGAUGGAAGUCUGCAAAGCCCUUUACACACACGGGGGAUCCCCACGAGGAGCCUCCCGGCUGCGGUCUUAACAUGCACUAAGACUUUGGGACACCCUGGGUUUCACCACCCUGACCACCCCUGCCCCACCCGAUAGCUCCAAGAUGGAGGUCCCGCAGCUAUCACCCAUUUCAAUUUGUAGAAGAGGGAGUGGAGAGGUGAAGGGACUUGCCUCCCCCUGCAUGGGCAGGAAGGAGAAGAGGCGGCAUCUGAAUUGUGGCUCCUGAGCCUUCCCGAACUGAGGGGCCCUUGGUCCAGGAUCAGUCCCAGAUGAAGACACUCCUUCCACCGGUGCAGAUUGCGAUCUUCUUUGACACUUAGAGGCUCACACUGGCACAAGGCUCUGUGCCUUUUACCCAGGUUCUCUGAGGCCAGGCCAGGGAGCACAUGGUCUAGACGGUCCCCCCAAGAUGGACCCAGUGGCCCGCGAUGCUAAUCUAGGUUGGAAGUAGGCUCCUCCUCAGAAGGGUCGCACAGGCUGAUGGAUUUGGUAUCCAAAGCAACUUAUCUGGACCUUUGCCUGAGAUAUAAAGGGCUGCAAUGUGCCACGGCAGAGGGACAAUUCACAGCCACAAAGUCACCGAUCCUCAAAGAUGCACUUGUGCGCGGGAGCGCACACACACACACACACACACACACACACACACACACACACACACACACAUUUUCCUUCAAAGCACUGGAUGCCGUUCAAGUUUUAUUUCCAUGUUUUGGGAAAACGUUUUAUCUUUCUUAUUUCACAGAAGAUGGCCAAAUACCCCAUUCAGACCCUAAUAUGCCUACGCACGCAGGGCUCUAGUUUACUCUCUGAAGACCUCAGCUAGAACAGUGGACAAGACGCGAUCAGAGGAAUAAAUCUGACAAUCUGCCCGGCCCGCCUGUAGGACAUGUGGUAUUUCUGACGACAGCCAAGGUGCCCCUGACACGCCACGCAGGGAGUGUCACUGGAGGAGAAGCAAGGCAGCCCCCAGCCCUCUGAGCUGCAGUCUGGUGAAGUCCCUGCAGCAGGGACGGUCCCUUCAUGCACAUCCCAUUAAAACAAAAUAACUACAACUACAAAACCUGCCGUCUGCUGCUUUCCCAUCUUCUUUAUUAAGCUGGCCAUUAAUUACUGGUAACAACUAAUUUAGCCUGGGUAUUUUUACUGCAUAAUUAUAAAGGAUGCAGGCAGGGUAUCCAGCAUGCUGGCCAAACCAUUUUG